This 311-nucleotide ribosomal RNA is filed under the name bacterium 46(2010). RNAcentral's name for it is "bacterial SSU rRNA". It matches the Rfam family "Bacterial small subunit ribosomal RNA", at positions 202 to 505 of the family's 1533-position model. The record is from RNAcentral.
AUCGCAAGACCUUGUGCUACUAGAGCGGCUGAUGGCAGAUUAGGUAGUUGGUGGGAUAAAAGCUUACCAAGCCGACGAUCUGUAGCUGGUCUGAGAGGACGAUCAGCCACACUGGGACUGAGACACGGCCCAGACUCCUACGGGAGGCAGCAGUGGGGAAUUUUGGACAAUGGGCGAAAGCCUGAUCCAGCAAUGCCGCGUGCAGGAUGAAGGCCUUCGGGUUGUAAACUGCUUUUGUACGGAACGAAAAGCUUUGGGUUAAUACCCUGGAGUCAUGACGGUACCGUAAGAAUAAGCACCGGCUAACUACG